Molecule: ribosomal RNA, 250 nt
Filed under: uncultured bacterium
Lineage: Bacteria
Description: partial 16S ribosomal RNA
Rfam family: Bacterial small subunit ribosomal RNA
Source: RNAcentral
GACAGAGGAUGCAAGCGUUAUCCGGAAUGAUUGGGCGUAAAGUGUCUGUAGGUAGCUUUUUAAGUCCGCCGUCAAAUCCCAGGGAUCAACCCUGGACAGGCGGUGGAAACUACCAAGCUGGAGUACGAUAGGGGCAGAGGGAAUUUUUCUGUGGAGCGCUGAAAUGCGAUGAGAUCGGAAAGAACACCAAUGGCGAAAGCACUUUGCUGGGCCGACACUGACACUGAGAGACGAAAGCUAGGGGAGCGAA